Molecule: non-coding RNA, 69 nt
Organism: Rhineura floridana
Lineage: Eukaryota; Metazoa; Chordata; Lepidosauria; Squamata; Rhineuridae
Source: the annotation of a RefSeq genome assembly
GCCGUAGCUCAGUGGUAGAGCAUCUGCCUCGCAUGUAGAAGGUCUCAGGUUCAAUACCUGACAUCUCCA